Long non-coding RNA from Salvelinus fontinalis (brook trout), 398 nucleotides. RefSeq lists it as uncharacterized. NCBI's taxonomy places the organism in Eukaryota, Metazoa, Chordata, Actinopteri, Salmoniformes, Salmonidae. The transcript has 3 exons. The record is from RefSeq and is a predicted model, not a curated record.
AGUAAAUGUUGUUACAGGACAAGGAGGAGGUCUGAGUAGACCCAGUAAAUGUUGUUACAGGACAAGGAGGAGGUCUGAGUAGACCCAGUAAAUGUUGUUACAGGACAAGGAGGAGGUCUGAGUAGACCCAGUAAAUGUUGUUACAGGACAAGGAGGAGGUCUGAGUAGACCCAGUAAAUGUUGUUACAGGACAAGGAGGAGGUCUGAGUAGACCCAGUAAAUGUUGUUACAGGACAAGGAGGAGGUCUGAGUAGACCCAGUAAAUGUUGUUACAGGACAAGGAGGAGGUCUGAGUAGACCCAGUAAAUGUUGUUACAGGACAAGGAGGAGGUCUGAGUAGACCCAGUAAAUGUUGUUACAGGACAAGGAGGAGGUCUGAGUAGACCCAGUACAUGUUG